This 321-nucleotide ribosomal RNA is filed under the name Triticum aestivum (bread wheat). RNAcentral describes it as "partial small subunit ribosomal RNA". Lineage: Eukaryota; Viridiplantae; Streptophyta; Magnoliopsida; Poales; Poaceae. The record is from RNAcentral.
AUGGAAAAUUGCAUUUUUGGAAUUUGCAAUAAUGCGAUGGGCGACCGAUGGGAAUUGAACCCGCGCAUGGUGGAUUCACAAUCCACUACCUUGAUCCACUUGGCCACAUCCGCCCCUUAUCCAUCUAAAGGAUUUUCCAUUGAUCGUUAUUCUAUUUAUUCUGACCUCCGUACUUCGAUCAAGAUAUUGGGCAUAGAAUGCCACUCUUUAAAAAGGAAAAAAGGAGUAAUCAGCUGUGACACGAAAAAAAUGAAUCCUUUUGUAGCUCAUCAUUUAUUGGCAAAGAUAGAAAAGGUCAAUAUGAAGGAGGAGAAAGUGUGA